RNAcentral lists this long non-coding RNA (331 nucleotides) under Homo sapiens (human). Its description in RNAcentral is "non-protein coding lnc-LYN-3:1". The record is from RNAcentral. Lineage: Eukaryota; Metazoa; Chordata; Mammalia; Primates; Hominidae.
UUACACAAAGGCAAUACAUGAAUUUGAGAAUUAUUUUUUCCUGACAAUUACUGGCUGUGUGAUAUUUGGCAAGUUACUUCUCUGAGCUUUACUUCCUCAUCUGCAACCUAGGAAUUAACAAUACCAAUUACAAAUCAUUGUGUGAGAAGAAAAUACAACAACAUAGAGCAAGUAUUGUGGUUGGCACGUAAUGAGAAAAAGCAAGCAUGUGGUAACUGGAGGAUCAUGAGCUCUGGGGUCAAAAAGGCAUUGGUGGCUCACGCCUGUAAACCCAGCACUUUAGAAGGCCAAGGUGGCAGGACAGCUUGAGCCCAGGAGCUUGAGACCAGCC